Molecule: ribosomal RNA, 253 nt
Filed under: uncultured bacterium
Lineage: Bacteria
Description: partial 16S ribosomal RNA
Rfam family: Bacterial small subunit ribosomal RNA
Source: RNAcentral
UACGAAGGGGGCUAGCGUUGCUCGGAAUCACUGGGCGUCAAGGGUGCGUAGGCGGGUCUUUAAGUCAGGGGUGAAAUCCUGGAGCUCAACUCCAGAACUGCCUUUGAUACUGAAGAUCUUGAGUGCGGGAGAGGUGAGUGGAACUGCGAGUGUAGAGGUGAAAUUCGUAGAUAUUCGCAAGAACACCAGUGGCGAAGGCGGCUCACUGGCCCGAUACUGACGCUGAGGCACGAAAGCGUGGGGAGCAAACAGG